GCUUCUAAUGAUGAUGUUUCUACAAAACUUUCGUUCUCCUGAGCUUAUCAGUGCUGAGAAACUGGAGACCUGAACUGAAGAGCA
Small nucleolar RNA from Prunus persica (peach), 84 nucleotides. It matches the Rfam family "Small nucleolar RNA Z159/U59". Rfam says of the family: This family consists of several snoRNA Z159 or U59 sequences which are members of the C/D class of snoRNA which contain the C (UGAUGA) and D (CUGA) box motifs. NCBI's taxonomy places the organism in Eukaryota, Viridiplantae, Streptophyta, Magnoliopsida, Rosales, Rosaceae. The record is from Rfam.